CGAACGGGGAUUACACGGCGAUGCGAUUUCGGUCAAAUCAAGUGCAAUCUUAGUGGCGGACGGGUGAGUAACGCGUGGGUAACCUGCCUUGCACUAGGGGGAUAACACUUAGAAAUAGGUGCUAAUACCGCAUAAGCGCACGGUCCUGCAUGGGACAGUGUGAAAAACUCCGGUGGUGCAAGAUGGACCCGCGUCUGAUUAGCUGGUUGGCGGGGUAAAGGCCCACCAAGGCGACGAUCAGUAGCCGGCCUGAGAGGGUGGACGGCCACAUUGGGACUGAGACACGGCCCAAACUCCUACGGGAGGCAGCAGUGGGGGAUAUUGGACAAUGGGGGGAACCCUGAUCCAGCGACGCCGCGUGAGUGAAGAAGUAUUUCGGUAUGUAAAGCUCUGUCAGCAGGGAAGAAAGCAAUGACGGUACCUGACCAAGAAGCCCCGGCUAACUACGUGCCAGCAGCCGCGGUAAUACGUAGGGGGCAAGCGUUAUCCGGAAUUACUGGGUGUAAAGGGAGCGUUGACGGCUGUGCAAGUCUGGAGUGAAAAGGCGGGGGCCCAACCCCCGGACUGCUCUGGAAACUGUAUGGCUGGAGUGCAGGAGAGGUAAGCGGAAUUCCUAGUGUAGCGGUGAAAUGCG
Molecule: ribosomal RNA, 634 nt
Filed under: uncultured bacterium
Lineage: Bacteria
Description: bacterial SSU rRNA
Rfam family: Bacterial small subunit ribosomal RNA
Source: RNAcentral